GGGUGACUGCAAUCUAUGAGGCAUCGGCCGCCCUACCCUGCUGAGUUUCCUGCGCCCGACCCCAGGGAGCAGAACGAGGUACCUCUUUACCCUCCACCAGAAGAGCCGCUAAGGAUGAUUGACCUAAGAAUGCAUAGCUACCAAAUGAUUAAAAGGCUCAGAUUUGUGUCUUAGGAUGUGUGGUUUGAAAAAUCCCAUGAAAAAUGGGUCGAACCAAAAUUUAGGAAUG
RNAcentral lists this long non-coding RNA (229 nucleotides) under Setaria italica (foxtail millet). RNAcentral's name for it is "long non-coding RNA (SITA_LNC003090)". The record is from RNAcentral. Lineage: Eukaryota; Viridiplantae; Streptophyta; Magnoliopsida; Poales; Poaceae.